UAGGGAAUCUUCCGCAAUGGACGAAAGUCUGACGGAGCAACGCCGCGUGAGCGAAGAAGGCCUUCGGGUCGUAAAGCUCUGUUGUUAGGGAAGAACAAGUACGAGAGUAACUGCUCGUACCUUGACGGUACCUAACCAGAAAGCCACGGCUAACUACGUGCCAGCAGCCGCGGUAAUACGUAGGUGGCAAGCGUUGUCCGGAAUUAUUGGGCGUAAAGCGCGCGCAGGCGGUCCUUUAAGUCUGAUGUGAAAGCCCACGGCUCAACCGUGGAGGGUCAUUGGAAACUGGGGGACUUGAGUGCAGAAGAGGAGAGUGGAAUUCCACGUGUAGCGGUGAAAUGCGUAGAGAUGUGGAGGAACACCAGUGGCGAAGGCGACUCUCUGGUCUGUAACUGACGCUGAGGCGCGAAAGCGUGGGGAGCAAACAGGAUUAGAUACCCUGGUAGUCCACGCCGUAAACGAUGAGUGCUAAGUGUUAGAGGGUUUCCGCCCUUUAGUGCUGCAG
Molecule: ribosomal RNA, 505 nt
Filed under: uncultured Bacillota bacterium
Lineage: Bacteria; Bacillati; Bacillota
Description: bacterial SSU rRNA
Rfam family: Bacterial small subunit ribosomal RNA
Source: RNAcentral